CUCAGGACGACGCUGGCGGCGUGCCUAACACAUGCAAGUCGAGCGAGGAGAUUCCUUCGGGAUGAUCCUAGCGGCGGACGGGUGAGUAACACGUGGGCAACCUGCCUCAUAGAGAGGAAUAGCCUUCCGAAAGGGAGAUUAAUACCUCAUAACAUUGCAGUUUCGCAUGGAACAGCAAUUAAAGGAGUAAUCCGCUAUGAGAUGGGCCCGCGGCGCAUUAGCUAGUUGGUGAGGUAACGGCUCACCAAGGCGACGAUGCGUAGCCGACCUGAGAGGGUGAUCGGCCACAUUGGGACUGAGACACGGCCCAGACUCCUACGGGAGGCAGCAGUGGGGAAUAUUGCACAAUGGGGGAAACCCUGAUGCCAGCAACGCCGCGUGAGUGAUGACGGCCUUCGGGUUGUAAAGCUCUGUCUUCAGGGACGAUAAUGACGGUACCUGAGGAGGAAGCCACGGCUAACUACGUGCCAGCCGCCGC
This 478-nucleotide ribosomal RNA is filed under the name uncultured bacterium. RNAcentral describes it as "bacterial SSU rRNA". It matches the Rfam family "Bacterial small subunit ribosomal RNA", at positions 23 to 518 of the family's 1533-position model. The record is from RNAcentral.